RNAcentral lists this long non-coding RNA (475 nucleotides) under Trifolium pratense (red clover). RNAcentral's name for it is "long non-coding RNA (TPRA_LNC006466)". The record is from RNAcentral. Lineage: Eukaryota; Viridiplantae; Streptophyta; Magnoliopsida; Fabales; Fabaceae.
AUCUCUAAAAUUAGAGAUAAGACAAUAUAAAUAAUAUUGUUUGCUGUCUUAUUUUAUUUCAUUACAAUUAAUCUUAGGGUAUAUAUAGUAAUAACUACAAAGGUUCUUCAUAUUAGAAAUAUAAAAUAUUCAUAUUACUGGGUACCAACACAAGAACUAAAUACAUAGGUGUCAAAAAAAAAAUACAAGAACUAAAUGACACCUCAUGGAAUAUUGUAGCAAGGAGCUUCUGUAGUUUCUUGAGAACAAAAUCUAUGGAUCAUCCAUGUCCUUACAUGUACACUUGUGAGCCACACACUUCGCCUUUAAGGGAUAUGCACACAUAUAUGGUGGACAAUCGGAAUUCAUUUUACAUUUAAUAUUUACUGUGAUGAAAUAAAAAAAAAAUUAAAGAAUCAAAUAUAUAUGAAAUCAAGAAGGAAAUUAUAAAAGGAUGAUAAAAAAACAUCUUACCGGUAUUCCCUGUAACAAGGAA